AUUGAACGCUGGCGGCAGGCUUAACACAUGCAAGUCGAACGAGUGGCGGACGGGUGAGUAAUGCUUGGGAAUCUAGCAUAUGGAGGGGGAUAACUACGGGACACUGUAGCUAAUACCGCGUAACAUAGGAUGAGCCCAGGUGGGAUUAGGUAGUUGGUGUGGGAAAGGCUCACCAAGAAGACGAUCUCUAGCUGGUCUGAGAUGAUGACGAGCAACACUGGGACUUAGACACGGCCCAGAAUCCUCCGGUAGGCAGCAGGGGUGAUGAUUGAGCAAUGGGGGCAACCUGACGCAGCCAUGCCGCGUGGAUGAAGAAGGCCUUCGGGUUGUAAAGUUCUUUCUGUAUCGAGGCGUUAACUGCAGAAGAAGCACCGGCUAACUCCGUGCCAGCAGCCGCGGUAAUAC
Molecule: ribosomal RNA, 405 nt
Filed under: uncultured bacterium
Lineage: Bacteria
Description: partial 16S ribosomal RNA
Rfam family: Bacterial small subunit ribosomal RNA
Source: RNAcentral